GCCACCUUAGCUCAAUUGGUAGAGCACUUGAUUUGUAAUCAUGAGGUUGUCGGUUCGAUUCCGAUAGGUGGCU
This 73-nucleotide transfer RNA is filed under the name Phycisphaerae bacterium. RNAcentral's name for it is "tRNA-Thr". It matches the Rfam family "tRNA". Rfam says of the family: Transfer RNA (tRNA) molecules are approximately 80 nucleotides in length. Their secondary structure includes four short double-helical elements and three loops (D, anti-codon, and T loops). Lineage: Bacteria; Pseudomonadati; Planctomycetota; Phycisphaerae. The record is from RNAcentral. RNAcentral also lists the same sequence under 2 other names.